RNAcentral lists this ribosomal RNA (459 nucleotides) under uncultured bacterium. RNAcentral's name for it is "partial 16S ribosomal RNA". It matches the Rfam family "Bacterial small subunit ribosomal RNA", at positions 338 to 795 of the family's 1533-position model. The record is from RNAcentral.
CCUACGGGAGGCAGCAGUGAGGAAUAUUGGUCAAUGGGCGGAAGCCUGAACCAGCCAAGUAGCGUGCGGGAUGAAUGCCCUACGGGUCGUAAACCGCUUUUGCACGGGGAUAACACCCUCCACUUGUGGAGGUCUGCAGGUACCGUGCGAAUAAGGGAUGGCUAAAUCCGUGCCAACAGCCGCGGUAAUUCGGCAGGCUAGAGCGUUAUCCGGGUUCAUUGGGGUUAAAUGGGGCGUAGGCGGGCGUCCAAGUCAGCUGUAAAAUCGCGCGGCUCAACCGCGCCCCGCAGUUGAAACUGGACGCCUUGAGUUCACGACAGGCAGGCGGAAUUCGUGGUGUAGCGGUGAAAUGCAUAGAUAUCACGAGGAACCCCGAUUGCGAAGGCAGCCUGCCGGGGUGCGACUGACGCUGAGGCUCGAAGGUGCGGGUAUCAAACAGGAUUAGAUACCCGAGUAGUC